GGAUUUGAACUUCGGACCUUCGGAAGAGCAGUCGGGUGCUCUUACCCACUGAGCCAUCUCACCAGCCCAACAUUAUCUUCUUAAAAAACAAAAAAGGGGAGAAUUAUAUCCCUGUGCACAUUAUUUAAAUCAUGCUUUUGAUUUUUAAAAAUUUAAAAUUGGAUGCCAAAGAACUCCUUGCUGAGUACCCUGACAAUGUGACAGGAAAGCUGUGUUGGGUGUAUAUUCUUGACACACCUUUGCUUGUCUAUGUCCCGGAUUAGACAAGCUAAGCUCCCUUGCUUCAAGCUUUUAGACCUUGUGGAACAGAGAACAUAGAGACUGUGGAAAAAUCAAUCAAAGGAGAAUGACUUUUAUAAUGACUCUUCUCUUUCCUUUAAUGUGACCAGUUAUUCUGGCUCUUACCACUGUUUCCUGAGAAGUAACAGUUUUUCUGUUGAUUCUCAAAGCCACUUCCCCCACUCCGGGUGGCCAGACCCUGGGUUUGAUCAUUGCUAAUUUGCAACUGAAUUCAGUCUCUAUGACAUCCCCACAGACAACCCUAACCCUGUUCCUUUUAACUUUUGAUUUGUAUUUCAAGUAGGUCAGUUACUUCCAUACAGACUCACCUUCAGCAAAGCUCAGGUGGCUGUUAUUCUUCGAUAUGAAGAGACGCAUUGAGUGCAUAUUGUGGCUUUGGUCUGAAUAAGAAAAAGGAACCCAGUAACCUGUGGUUGCUGGCAGCUACAAUGUAGAACUCUCAGCUAGUUUUGCAUCGAGCCUGCCUAGAUGCUACCCUGCUGCCACCAUGAAGAUGAUGGACUGAACCCUUGAACUUGUGAGCUAGCCCCAAUUAAAUGUUGUCCUUUAUAAGA
Mus musculus (house mouse) is the source of this 854-nucleotide long non-coding RNA. RefSeq annotates it as predicted gene, 57509. The transcript is spliced from 2 exons. NCBI's taxonomy places the organism in Eukaryota, Metazoa, Chordata, Mammalia, Rodentia, Muridae. The record is from RefSeq and is a predicted model, not a curated record.